UACGGGGGGAGCAAGCGUUGUUCGGAUUUACUGGGCGUACAGGGAGCGUAGGCGGUUGGAUAAGCCCUCCGUGAAAUCUCCAGGCUUAACCUGGAAAGUGCAGAGGGGACUGUUCAGCUAGAGGAUGGGAGAGGAGCGCGGAAUUCCCGGUGUAGCGGUGAAAUGCGUAGAGAUCGGGAGGAAGGCCGGUGGCGAAGGCGGCGCUCUGGAACAUUUCUGACGCUGAGGCUCGAAAGCGUGGGGAGCAAACAGG
RNAcentral lists this ribosomal RNA (253 nucleotides) under uncultured bacterium. RNAcentral's name for it is "partial 16S ribosomal RNA". It matches the Rfam family "Bacterial small subunit ribosomal RNA", at positions 524 to 776 of the family's 1533-position model. The record is from RNAcentral.